Molecule: antisense RNA, 75 nt
Filed under: Micromonospora pallida
Lineage: Bacteria; Bacillati; Actinomycetota; Actinomycetes; Micromonosporales; Micromonosporaceae
Description: ASpks TB sRNA
Rfam family: ASpks TB sRNA
Source: RNAcentral
CUUGAUCGAGCCGAGCCAGAGGGGCCGGUCGUCGGUCCGGCCCCGGCCGUAGGUGGCGAGCAACGCCUGCGCCUC